This is a long non-coding RNA of Equus caballus (horse), 1501 nucleotides long. RefSeq lists it as uncharacterized. The record is from RefSeq and is a predicted model, not a curated record. NCBI's taxonomy places the organism in Eukaryota, Metazoa, Chordata, Mammalia, Perissodactyla, Equidae.
CACCUAAGCGGAACCUACGAACUUAACUGCUGCACCACCGGGUUGGCCCAGAUUUCGGUUUUAGAAACUUCAUCUUGGCAGAAUAGAGGGUGGAAAGGAGGGGGCUGGGCUAGGCACAGGCCAAAACCUUUUGGGGCUCCCCAGGCCUUCCAGCAUAGCGUUCCAACUCCUUUCUUUCAGGGGCCGAGAAGACCGCACCUCCCGCCACCACUCCCCCUCCUUUCCUCCAGCCUUGGAGGUAUCUGCUCUUGUGCGUGGGCCUCCUCCUCCAAACCCUGUGGGAGGGAGAGGGAGGUGCGCUCGGAGGCCCCGCCCACAAGAGGGCACGCUUGCGUGCGCGACGCGGCGGCCGCCAUCUUGGACUCGGGCAGCCCGCUCACUUCCUGCAGUCUUGGGGAGGGUUGCGUCUUCGAGCUGCGGCUGCACCCGGGGCCGCAGAGGCGACCUUACACCUCCUACUCAGCUAACCCCUCGGCAGGCUUGUGCUUGAGACCAGUGGCGCCAGCUCCCAUCCUUCCAGCCUCCACGUAAAACGUGGAACCAGCAUCCUGAUGGCGAGUGCCAGCUCCCCGCCCUUUCCUACCUGUGACUCUGGGCAGGAGAUUGCGGGGUGCCUCGUAGGCACCACCGUUCCGGCCACCACUGCUGCGAGGACCACUCUCCAUGACUACAUUUGUGCGCUGACUCUUUGAAGACCAAGUCGGAGGGGCGAGGGGAUUGGCAAGACGCCCUCAGAGGAGUGAAAGUGAAGCCGAGUCCUUUAGGACUUCCAUGUGACCGUUUAGGAAGGGUGUCAGAACAGAGACCAGGAUGCCCGGGCCUGGAAAGACUUUGUAAAUUUUGGAACAUUUCAACGCCCCCACACGUGUUAUUUUUAUCACCCCUGGCUGCGUCCCCAUAGGGACUCCCAUGCAGCACAAAACUAGAAUGAAAAGCCCUGUGUGUGUGCUAGCUGUGGGGGACAUCCAGAAGAGGGAGCUGGGACAGUGUGUCCCAGGCAGAGCCAAGUGUGGGGGAGAAGAGCUUUUUGGGCUAGCGUGGGUGAUGGCCCAAGGAAGAGAGAGGAAAUCAGGCCAGGCCUAAGGUGGCCUGUGGGGGUCCCCAGGCAUGUGCAGCUGCUCUACCACUCUGCAGCCGGAGUCCAACAGUUUGGGGUCCCCCGACUUCCUAAGGGAGUGGAAAACUUGCCUGGAACCCUAAGAAAUGAGGGAAGUGCCUGGAGAAGGGGCUAGAGAUUGGGGAGGAGCCAAGACCUUCUAGGGGUCUGGAGACCACACCCAGCUCUCCACAGGAUUCUGCAGGCCCAAGAUGAGACAUUAUUCAGUAAUAAACCAGGUGAAUGUCAGGCAUGCCCAGGUUCCCCCAUCCAGCCUGAUGGAGAGGCGGGGGCGGGGGGGCGGGCAGAAGACAGAAAAAUUAGCAAGCGGUUGUGGGGGGACUGCAGUUUAUUUUCAGGCAUAGAGGGUUGAGGGGUGGCAGUAGGCUCCAUCUGCAGCCCCUC